GACCGGCGCACGGGUGCGUAACGCGUAUGCAAUCUACCUUUUACAGAGGGAUAGCCCAGAGAAAUUUGGAUUAAUACCUCAUAGUAUGUGAGAAUCGCAUGGUUUUCACAUUAAAGUUCCAACGGUAAAAGAUGAGCAUGCGUCCCAUUAGCUAGAUGGUAAGGUAACGGCUUACCAUGGCAACGAUGGGUAGGGGUCCUGAGAGGGAGAUCCCCCACACUGGUACUGAGACACGGACCAGACUCCUACGGGAGGCAGCAGUGAGGAAUAUUGGACAAUGGGCGCAAGCCUGAUCCAGCCAUGCCGCGUGCAGGAUGACGGUCCUAUGGAUUGUAAACUGCUUUUGUACAGGAAGAAACACUCCCUCGUGAGGGAGCUUGACGGUACUGUAAGAAUAAGGAUCGGCUAACUCCGUGCCAGCAGCCGCGGUAAUACGGAGGAUCCAAGCGUUAUCCGGAAUCAUUGGGUUUAAAGGGUCCGUAGGCGGCUGAAUAAGUCAGCGGUGAAAGACUUCGGCUUAACCGGAGCAGUGCCGUUGAUACUGUUUAGCUUGAGUGUUGGAGGGGUACAUGGAAUUGAUGGUGUAGCGGUGAAAUGCAUAGAUACCAUCAGGAACACCGAUAGCGAAGGCAUUGUACUGGCCAACAACUGACGCUGAGGCACGAAAGUGUGGGGAUCGAACAGGAUUAGAUACCCUGGUAGUCCACACUGUAAACGAUGAUUACUCGCUGUUAUGCUGUAUAGUGUAGCGGCCA
RNAcentral lists this ribosomal RNA (755 nucleotides) under uncultured Bacteroidota bacterium. Its description in RNAcentral is "bacterial SSU rRNA". It matches the Rfam family "Bacterial small subunit ribosomal RNA", at positions 93 to 849 of the family's 1533-position model. Lineage: Bacteria; Pseudomonadati; Bacteroidota. The record is from RNAcentral.